This 611-nucleotide ribosomal RNA is filed under the name uncultured Atheliaceae. RNAcentral describes it as "eukaryotic LSU rRNA". It matches the Rfam family "Eukaryotic large subunit ribosomal RNA", at positions 61 to 645 of the family's 3401-position model. The record is from RNAcentral. Lineage: Eukaryota; Fungi; Basidiomycota; Agaricomycetes; Atheliales; Atheliaceae.
GAAACUAACAAGGAUUCCCCUAGUAACUGCGAGUGAAGCGGGACAAGCUCAAAUUUAAAAUCUGGCGGUCUCCUGGCCGUCCGAGUUGUAAUCUGGAGGAGCGUUUUCCGUGUUGGACCGUGUACAAGUCUUCUGGAACGGAGCGUCAUAGAGGGUGAGAAUCCCGUCUCUGACACGGACUACCAAUGCUUUUGUGAUACGCUCUCGAAGAGUCGAGUUGUUUGGGAAUGCAGCUCAAAAUGGGUGGUAAAUUCCAUCUAAAGCUAAAUAUUGGCGAGAGACCGAUAGCGAACAAGUACCGUGAGGGAAAGAUGAAAAGCACUUUGGAAAGAGAGUUAAACAGUACGUGAAAUUGUUGAAAGGGAAACGUUUGAAGUCAGUCGCGUUGGCCGAGACUCAACCUUGCUAUCCUGCUCGGUGUACUUCUCGGUCGACGGGUCAGCAUCAAUUUUGACCGCUGGAUAAAGGCCUGGGGAAUGUGGCAUCUCUCGGGAUGUGUUAUAGCCCUGGGUUCGCAUACGGCGAUUGGGAUUGAGGAACUCAGUGCGCCUUUAUGGUCGGGGUAUCAACCCACGUAACGCACUUAGGAUGCUGGCUUAAUGGCUUUAAGC